Molecule: ribosomal RNA, 1409 nt
Filed under: Brachybelus cruralis
Lineage: Eukaryota; Metazoa; Arthropoda; Insecta; Hemiptera; Membracidae
Description: SSU rRNA
Rfam family: Eukaryotic small subunit ribosomal RNA
Source: RNAcentral
ACGGGGAGGUAGUGACGAAAAAUAUCGAUACGGGACUCAUCCGAGGCCCCGUAAUCGGAAUGAGUACACUUUAAAUCCUUUAACGAGUACCAAUUGGAGGGCAAGUCUGGUGCCAGCAACCGCGGUAAUUCCAGCUCCAAUAGCGUAUAUUAAAGUUGUUGCGGUUAAAAAGCUCGUAGUUGGAUCUGUGUCUAACGGCGUCGGUUCACCGCUCGCGGUGUAACUGGCGCGCCGGUUGGACGUCCUGCCGGUGGCGGUCCGGGCUUUCGAGUAUGUGUAGGUCCUCCGAAGCAUCUCGAUAGUUCCGGCCGCCGAUUCAAUCCCGCCGCGGUGCUCUUGACUGAGUGUCGAGGUGGGCCGGCACGUUUACUUUGAACAAAUUAGAGUGCUUAAAGCAGGCUGAUUUACGCCUGAAUACUGUGUGCAUGGAAUAAUGGAAUAGGACUUCGGUUCUAUUUUGUUGGUUUUAAGAAUCCGAAGUAAUGAUUAAUAGGGACAGGCGGGGGCAUUCGUAUUGCGACGUUAGAGGUGAAAUUCUUGGAUCGUCGCAAGACGUACCUAAGCGAAAGCAUUUGCCAAGUAUGUCCUCGUUAAUCAAGAACGAAAGUUAGAGGUUCGAAGGCGAUCAGAUACCGCCCUAGUUCUAACCAUAAACGAUGCCAGCCAGCGAUCCGCCAAAGUUCCUCCGAUGACUUGGCGGGCAGCUUCCGGGAAACCAAAGCUUUUGGGUUCCGGGGGAAGUAUGGUUGCAAAGCUGAAACUUAAAGGAAUUGACGGAAGGGCACCACCAGGAGUGGAGCCUGCGGCUUAAUUUGACUCAACACGGGAAACCUCACCAGGCCCGGACACUGGAAGGAUUGACAGAUUGAUAGCUCUUUCUUGAUUCAGUGGGUGGUGGUGCAUGGCCGUUCUUAGUUGGUGGAGCGAUUUGUCUGGUUAAUUCCGAUAACGAACGAGACUCUAGCCUAUUAACUAGGCGUUCCCGGUAUCCACAAUAGUGCUACCGGCGAAUAAAUUUCUUCUUAAAGGGACAGGCGGCUUCUAGCCGCACGAGACUGAGCAAUAACAGGUCUGUGAUGCCCUUAGAUGUCCUGGGCCGCACGCGCGCUACACUGAAGGAAUCAGCGUGUCUCCCCUGGCCGAAAGGUCCGGGUAACCCGUUGAACCUCCUUCGUGCUAGGGAUUGGGGCUUGCAAUUGUUCCCCAUGAACGAGGAAUUCCCAGUAAGCGCGAGUCAUAAGCUCGCGUUGAUUACGUCCCUGCCCUUUGUACACACCGCCCGUCGCUACUACCGAUUGAAUGAUUUAGUGAGGUCUUCGGACUGGUGCGCGGUGGCCGCCUCGUGUGGUCACCGAUGUUGCCGGGAAGAUGACCAAACUUGAUCAUUUAGAGGAAGUAAAAGUCGUAAC